CUUCCCUGGUGGCGCAGUGGUUGAGAGUCCGCCUGCCGAUGCAGGGGACACGGGUUCGUGCCCCGGUCCGGAAAGAUCCCACAUGCCGCGGAACGGCUGGGCCCGUGAGCCAUGGCCGCUGAGCCUGCGCGUCCGGAGCCUGUGCUCCGCAGCGGGAGAGGCCACAACAGUGAGAGGCCCGCGUACCGCAGAAAAAAAAAAAAAAAAAAAAAAGA
This is a long non-coding RNA of Orcinus orca (killer whale), 215 nucleotides long. RefSeq lists it as uncharacterized. The transcript has 2 exons. NCBI's taxonomy places the organism in Eukaryota, Metazoa, Chordata, Mammalia, Artiodactyla, Delphinidae. The record is from RefSeq and is a predicted model, not a curated record.